Oncorhynchus keta (chum salmon) is the source of this 1721-nucleotide long non-coding RNA. RefSeq lists it as uncharacterized. The record is from RefSeq and is a predicted model, not a curated record. The transcript has 2 exons. Lineage: Eukaryota; Metazoa; Chordata; Actinopteri; Salmoniformes; Salmonidae.
UGUUUCCCCACAGCAAAAUGUCAUGAAAAGGGGUGUGAGUAAGGAAAAUGUUCUCUGUGGGACCCACCAGAAUACUCGCUCCUACUGGUGAGCCUGGUCUUUACGGUGGACAAAAUGACCAGUAGUCCUGCAAUACAGGCAACUCUUACUGUGAAUCCUGUAUAAUCAAAUCAAAUCAAAUGUAUUUAUAAAGCCCUUCGUACAUCAGCUGAUUUCUCAAAGUGCUGUACAGAAACCCAGCCUAAAACCCCAAACAGCAAGCAAUGCAGGUGUAGAAGCACCUAUAGCAAGUAUAGCCAUUCAGCUGGAGACAGACUAGCUCUGCCUAGUUGCAUUGGCUCGGGAAGUGGUGAAUAGGCAGCCUUUGGAGAUUCUCGGGGCACCUCGGGUUCUCUCAGCAACGGAGCCGUCGGAAACUUCCAUGAUGCCUCGGAAGCGAGGUGGAAUCCUUGGGUGGUGAGCGUCAGAGCGUUCCAUCCGAUACUCCGUGAGGAACAUGUCGAACAACACUUCUGGGUUCUCAUCUGCCAACCAGCUGCCAACCAGCUGCCAACCAGCUGCCAACCAGCUGCCAACCAGCUGGCAACAGACAAACAGAGAACACAGGUAUAAAUACACUGGAUAUAAUUGGGAAGAUGGGCGACACCUGGAGGGGUGUGGAGACAAACAUAAAGACAGUUGAAACAGAUCAAGGUGUGACAGAUAUAAUGUAUAUACAUAUUAUAGUCCUCUUAUAGUCCAUGACGACAUCAUGGAGCUGGUGGAUGUUAGAGACCUUGCACUCCUCCAUGACGACAUCACAGAGCUGGUGGAUGUUAGAGACCUUGCACUCCUCCACGACGACAUCACGGAGCUGGUGGAUGUUAGAGACCUUGCACUCCUCCACCUUCCGUUUGAGGAUGCCCCACAGAUGCUCAAUAGGGUUUAGGUCUGGAGACAUGCUUGGUAUACGCUGUAUAUGAUAUGGUAUAAGUUAUAUAUGGUAUAAGGUAAAAUUAUAUAAUAUAAGGCAUGAUAUGGUAUAAGUUAUAUAUGGUAUAAGGUAUAUAUGAUAUAAUAUAAGGCAUGAUAUGGUAUAAGUUAUAUAUGGUAUAAGGUAAAAUUAUAUAAUAUAAGGCAUGAUAUGGUAUAAGUUAUAUAUGGUAUAAGGUAUAUAUGAUAUAAUAUAAGGCAUGAUAUGGUAUAAGUUAUAUAUGGUAUAAGGUAUAUAUGAUAUAAUAUAAGGCAUGAUAUGGUAUAAGUUAUAUAUGGUAUAAGGUAUAUAUGAUAUAAUAUAAGGCAUGAUAUGGUAUAAAGUGCAAUAUCAUAUGAGCUAUUGUGGCAGACGGCAGGGAGAGGUGAGGAGAGCGGUUAUUGAGGGGAGAUACCUUGCAGCUCGCUAGCUCCACCCCCAAGCCUUAUAUGGACUUCCUGCCCCAAAGAGGCGAGGCUGUGAGUCGUUAAGCCAGGGAUUGCUUGGAGGUAAAGGAGGAAGCUGCCUGCACAAAGGGGCAGAGUAAGCAGAGAAAAAGUUGCUUUAUGAAGAGUGGGAGAAGAGAGAACCAUAUCAGUGAGAUUACCCGUUGUGACCUGGGCUGUCGGAUCACACCUCGGAUUGACUGAGGACCCGAGUUUUAGGAUUUACCCCUGGAGAACGGAUUGUGGACUGUGAAGUAAUUGGUGAAUUCCACGUGCAUCCCCAGUGUACAAAACUCCCUAAUAAACUCCCCGUUUGCAUUCAA